This 406-nucleotide ribosomal RNA is filed under the name uncultured bacterium. Its description in RNAcentral is "partial 16S ribosomal RNA". It matches the Rfam family "Bacterial small subunit ribosomal RNA", at positions 30 to 526 of the family's 1533-position model. The record is from RNAcentral.
AUUGAACGCUGGCGGCAGGCCUAACACAUGCAAGUCGAGCGCGCGGCGGACGGGUGUGUCAUGUCUGGGAAACUCCUUUAUGGCGGGGGUUACCUACUGGAAACGGUAGCUAUUACCGCAUACCUUCAGCUGUUCCCAGAUGGGAUUAGCUAGUAGGUGGGGUAAUGGCUCACCUAGGCGACGAUCCCUAGCUGGUCUGAGAGGAUGACCAGCCACACUGGAACUGAGACACGGUCCAGACUCCUACGGGAGGCAGCAGUAGGGAAUAUUGCACAAUGGGCGCAAGCCUGAUGCAGCCACGCCGCGUGAGUGAAGAAGGCCUUCGGGUUGUAAAGCACUGUCAGCGGGGAGGCGUUACUCGAAGAGGAAGCACCGGCUAACUCCGUGCCAGCAGCCGCGGUAAUAC